Molecule: ribosomal RNA, 497 nt
Filed under: uncultured bacterium
Lineage: Bacteria
Description: partial 16S ribosomal RNA
Rfam family: Bacterial small subunit ribosomal RNA
Source: RNAcentral
GUUGAACGCUGGCGGCGUGCCUAAUACAUGCAAGUCGAACGAAAAGACGCGGCGCUUGCCUCUCUGACGUUAACGGCGGAAGGAAUGCUACCAAGUGGGUCCCCUCCCUAUGAGUAUCGAAUCGCUACGGGAACCCGUAGCUCAUACCGGCUAAUAUAUUAAACCGCAUGGUUCAAUAGUUAGAGACGGUUGUGCUGUCAAUUUUAGAUGGAUCAGCGCCGCAUUAGAUAGUUGGUAAGGUAACGGCUUACCAAGGCAACGAUGCGUAGCCGACCUGAGAGGGCGACCGGCCACACUGGAACUGAGACACGGCCCAGACUCCUACGGGAGGCAGCAGUAGGGAAUCUUCGGCAAUGGGCGAAAGCCUGACCCAGCAACGCCGCGUGAAGGAUGAAGGUCUUCGGAUCGUAAACUGCUGUUGUUAGGGAAGAACCGGUUUUGAUUAAUCUCCGCAGGUAAUGACGGUACCGAAUCAGAAAGCCACGGCUAACUACGUG